GCAAAGACCAGCAAAACUCAAGUGAAAUUUCAGCAAAACUCAAGUGAAAUUUCAGCAAAACUCAAGUGAAAUUUCAGCAAAACUCAAGUGAAAUUUCAGCAAAACUCAAGUGAAAUUUCAGCAAAACUCAAGUGAAAUUUGAAGUAAAAAGAAAGAGGUGACUUCUGCAAUUAGAAAAAAUAGACAUUGAUUUCAUUUAUAAAGACCUUCAAUAGAGAGCUAUAGCUUAAUUUUUAAAAACAAACCUGGAUUUUAGGAACGGUACCACCAUUAUUGUGGUUUGUUUUGCUGAUUUUUCUCCAACAAAUCAGUUCUGCAUUGGAAAUUAGGAGUCACUCUGAUUAAGAAUUUAUGUUAUUCACUCUCGUAGGUAUCUCUAUUUCUAGCAGAGGAGUUGGAAGACACGUUCUGCUGGACGCAUCUUUUCGAAGGGGUGGGGGAGUGGAAUUGUGUGUGCGGAAAAUUCGAUGUUCUUGGUUAUGUUUUCUUAUAGAAGCGACG
This 501-nucleotide long non-coding RNA is filed under the name Solanum tuberosum (potato). Its description in RNAcentral is "long non-coding RNA (STUB_LNC004529)". The record is from RNAcentral. Lineage: Eukaryota; Viridiplantae; Streptophyta; Magnoliopsida; Solanales; Solanaceae.